AGAAUCAACGCUGGCGGCGUGCCUAACACAUGCAAGUCGAACGAGAAAGUGGAGCAAUCCAUGAGUAAAGUGGCGACCGGGUGAGUAACACGUGACUAACCUACCUUCGAGUGGGGGAUAACCUCGGGAAACCGAGGCUAAUACCGCAUAACAUCGCAAGAUCAAAGCAGCAAUGCGCUGGAAGAGGGGGUCGCGGCUGAUUAGCUAGUUGGCGGGGUAAUGGCCCACCAAGGCGAAGAUCGGUAGCC
This 248-nucleotide ribosomal RNA is filed under the name uncultured bacterium. RNAcentral describes it as "partial small subunit ribosomal RNA". It matches the Rfam family "Bacterial small subunit ribosomal RNA", at positions 26 to 288 of the family's 1533-position model. The record is from RNAcentral.